CCAACGGACACAGAAGAGAUACGUGGCAUAUUUUCUCCAGCCGAAGAACAUUCCGUCAAUGACCAGCCUAAAGAACAGACGGAUGAGGAUGAGGUGGCAAGCAUGGAAGUAACCCACAGCCAGUUUUCUUCAUAUGUGGCAUGGUACAAACAAUAUGAGAAUUCACGGCACGGUUCUGAGGCAGUACCAGCGAUGGUCAAAAUACCUUACAGGAUGAUGUUGGAUGUUCUUUUAGAGACUCUGGGCCUUCCACCAGCCGAGUACCGAACCAGA
This is a long non-coding RNA of Triticum dicoccoides, 273 nucleotides long. RefSeq lists it as uncharacterized. The transcript is spliced from 3 exons. The record is from RefSeq and is a predicted model, not a curated record. NCBI's taxonomy places the organism in Eukaryota, Viridiplantae, Streptophyta, Magnoliopsida, Poales, Poaceae.